GCAGUGGAGAAAACGGGCCAAAAAGUCUAACAACUCCAAAGAAAUUUAAAAGGACAGCAAAUGCAGAAAAUGUCAGGCAUGUUGGGAAAAUGACUAUUUUUUUAACUGAGUUUAGAGGGAAGUGUGUAUGUUUAAUUUGUCAGGAAUCAGUUACUAAUACUAGUAAAAUAUUAAGAGACAUCUCAGUUUACACAACACUGUAGGGGUGAAACGAUUACUCGAGUAAAUCGAGUAACUCGAUUCACAAAAUUGAUCGAUUAAUUUUCUGUGCCUCGAGUAAUCGUUUAUUUAAUUAAUAAACUCAGCGCGCGGUAUUUUCGCGACUUUUAUUUUGACAACGCGCUCAGCGUUACGUCACCCUCACCCGGGAAGAGAGAGACGGAGGUUUGAGCAGCGGCAAAAAUGGAAGCGGCGAGAGAAAACAGCGAUUUUAAAGGAAUAAAAGCAUUUUAUGUUCGAACUGUGACCUGUACUCGGUGCAGUGCCAAAACAGCGCGUUUUAAUGCUGCACCAUCUGAGCCGAGGACACCCGAGACGCGAGGACGCCGAGAGAGCAGGUCCUGAUAUAUUUUGGAGAAGCGGCUUGGUGGUAAAAGAAUGCAGCACACUGAUCCAACACUGGCAGAACUGACAACGUCUCAGAAGCUAAGAUGCACAACACAAAGACGAUGUUUAUGCCUUUUUUUAUUGAUUUAUACCCUAUAUUUGAUAUUUACAAGAAAUCCUAAUGUGAAAGUAAUGUAAUUAAAUGUAUUUUUUUAUUGUGGUAUUUAUUUAUUUAUUUAUUGUGUCUUAUUUAUUUGUAUUUGCAAUUUGGAAAUAUAUGUUGUGAAUUUAAAAAUAUAACUUAUCUAAAAAAGGAAACCAAUUGGUCAUUCAUUAUUGAGUAAAAUGCCUUUUUAAUUGCUCUUUAACAAAAAAAAAAGUUUUAUCCGAUUACUCGAUUAAUCGAAUCGAUUUUUCAGUAGAGUACCCGAUUACAAAAAGAAUCGAUAGCUGCAGCCCUACAACACUGUCAAAGAUAUAUAAAGAUAGUAACUCAAGUAAAAUGGUGUGUGAAUGACAGUAAUUAAGAAAAUGUAUUUUUAUAAGUGGUAUAUUUCAUUAUUUGUUUUAUUACAGGGUCUGUGGCCCGUGAUUGCACAUAUUUUUCUCCUUCUGGCCCCCAAACAAAAAAAAAGUUUGGACACCCCUGGUAUAGAAAAUCAGUAGUGUAAAU
Molecule: long non-coding RNA, 1219 nt
Filed under: Astyanax mexicanus (Mexican tetra)
Lineage: Eukaryota; Metazoa; Chordata; Actinopteri; Characiformes; Acestrorhamphidae
Description: lncRNA (ENSAMXG00005016676.1)
Source: RNAcentral